AUUGAACGCUGGCGGCAUGCCUUACACAUGCAAGUCGAACGGUAACAGGUCUUCGGAUGCUGACGAGUGGCGAACGGGUGAGUAAUACAUCGGAAUGUGCCUAGUAGUGGGGGAUAACUACUCGAAAGAGUGGCUAAUACCGCCUGAAAUCUACGGAUGAAAGCAGGGGCGCGCAAGACCUUGGUCUGCUCGAGAGGCCGAUGGCAGAUUUGGUAGUUGGUGGGAUAAAAGCUUACCAAGCCGACGAGCUGUAGCUGGUCUGAGAGGACGAUCAGCCACACUGGGACUGAGACACGGCCCAGACUCCUACGGGAGGCAGCAGUGGGGAACUUUGGACAAUGGGCGCAAGCCUGAUCCAGCAAUGCCGCGUGCAGGAUGAAGGCCGUCGGGUUGUAAACUGCUUUUGUACGGAACGAAAAGCCCCGGGUUAAUACCCUGGGGUAAUGACGGUACCGUAAGAAUAAUCACCGGCUAACUACGUGCCAGCAGCCGCAGUAA
RNAcentral lists this ribosomal RNA (498 nucleotides) under uncultured bacterium. RNAcentral's name for it is "partial 16S ribosomal RNA". It matches the Rfam family "Bacterial small subunit ribosomal RNA", at positions 30 to 523 of the family's 1533-position model. The record is from RNAcentral.